CGGUUUUGGUGAGAGUGAAGCCUCAAAAUUAUGAAAUUUUUCAACAAAGUCAUAAAGCCUUGCAAGUGGAAAUUGGUUGGUGGGAACAUGUGUGUAAGAAGAAAAUCAAUUAUGUACAUAAUUCAAACACUCUUAUCAACAAUUCAAUCACCUUUUAAUUGAUUAAAUGACUUGUUGAUAGAUAAGUCACACCAACCAAUACAAAACAAAGGCUUUAUGAAAUUAACUAAAACUUUGAAUCAAAACAACAAACCUUUUUGUUCUUGGUAAGAACCUCAAGAACAAUGAAGAACACCCAUGAACACCCAUAAGAGUUCCAUGAACAUUUUCACUCAAUAAAACUCAAAUUUUCACUACUCAAAAUGGGGUUAACAUCCUAGGGUACUUAGGGGUUCCAAAAGUCACCUUAAAACACUUUUAAUAAGACAAACAUGAACCCAAA
This 442-nucleotide long non-coding RNA is filed under the name Malus domestica (apple). RNAcentral's name for it is "long non-coding RNA (MDOM_LNC008399)". The record is from RNAcentral. Lineage: Eukaryota; Viridiplantae; Streptophyta; Magnoliopsida; Rosales; Rosaceae.